Molecule: transfer RNA, 149 nt
Filed under: Aspergillus sydowii CBS 593.65
Lineage: Eukaryota; Fungi; Ascomycota; Eurotiomycetes; Eurotiales; Aspergillaceae
Description: tRNA-Thr
Source: RNAcentral
GCCCGGAUGGUCUAGUGGUAUGAUUCGCGCUUAGUAAGCCUUCCCGAUUAAACCCAAAAUAGUCCAUUUCAAUUUACUAACAACAACUCCAGGGGUCAACCCUUAGCUAAAAAUGCGCGAGGUCCCCGGUUCGAUCCCGGGUUCGGGCC